GCUUAUUUCCUGCUGACCUAGGGAAUAAUACUUAAGGAGCUAUGAGCAGGUCAAGAGAGUAUUCUCCCAUCACAGAGCAUCAGCUACUAGUUUCCGUACAGCUGCAAGUGGUGUGAUCAGGAGCUUUCCAAUAAUCAAUAGAGUUUGAGAGAAACAAUCAAUAGUCGGGUUGUGGGUCUUGGAUAUCUACAAAUUCAACACACAAGCAAGAAUGUUGGCAUUUGAAUAAUAAAGAGAAAGGAAGAAGCAUAGAUUACUGUAACAUGCGCUACAUGGGAUUGCCUUUGAAGACUGUUUGGAAGCUCCAGAUGGUCCAACGGGCAGCAGCCAGGUUGCUCACCAAAGGGAGCAUAUAAUUCCCCAUUACAUCAACUCCACUGGCUGCCAGUCUGCUA
Anolis carolinensis (green anole) is the source of this 395-nucleotide long non-coding RNA. RefSeq lists it as uncharacterized. The record is from RefSeq and is a predicted model, not a curated record. NCBI's taxonomy places the organism in Eukaryota, Metazoa, Chordata, Lepidosauria, Squamata, Anolidae. The transcript has 3 exons.